This 24-nucleotide non-coding RNA is filed under the name Rattus norvegicus (Norway rat). Lineage: Eukaryota; Metazoa; Chordata; Mammalia; Rodentia; Muridae. The record is from RNAcentral.
UGCAAAAACAAAGCCACCAACGUA